AAGACCUUGCGCUUUUGGAGCGGCCGAUGUCUGAUUAGCUUGUUGGUAAGGUAAAAGCUUACCAAGGCUUCGAUCAGUAGCUGGUCUGAGAGGACGACCAGCCACACUGGGACUGAGACACGGCCCAGACUCCUACGGGAGGCAGCAGUGGGGAAUUUUGGACAAUGGGGGCAACCCUGAUCCAGCCAUGCCGCGUGAGUGAAGAAGGCCUUCGGGUUGUAAAGCUCUUUCAGCCGGAACGAAACGGUUACGGAUAACACCCGUGACUACUGACGGUACCGGAAGAAGAAGCACCGGCUAACUACGUGCCAGCAGCCGCGGUAAUACGUAGGGUGCGAGCGUUAAUCGGAAUUACUGGGCGUAAAGCGUGCGCAGGUGGUUUUGUAAGUCAGAUGUGAAAGCCCCGGGCUCAACCUGGGAACU
Molecule: ribosomal RNA, 423 nt
Filed under: uncultured bacterium
Lineage: Bacteria
Description: bacterial SSU rRNA
Rfam family: Bacterial small subunit ribosomal RNA
Source: RNAcentral